GCACAAUCACAGCUCACUGCAUCCUCUGCCUCCGGGACUCAGAGCCGAUCUUUCACCGUGUUGGCCCUGCUGGACUCCGAUUCCUGGCCUCAAGUGAUCCACCUGCCUCAGCCUCCCAAAGUGCUAGGAUGACAGGUAUGCACGCGCGCACCUCCCGGGCAGGCAGUGGACGCUGAGCAAACGGACGGACGGGCUGGAAGGCUGGCAGUGGGGUGCAGGAGGCAGCCAUGAGAAACCCUCAAGUACAGGCUCCCACGGCUGAAUUGUUCCCGGCCCACAGCGACCCGUCCCCACCCGUCUCUGAUCGGCAGCCGCCUCGAGCCCGGCGCGUCCACCCAGCCUGGGCGCUGCCCAGUACCCGCCGGCCGGCGCAGGGCCCCUGGGGCAGGCUUCACUCACCAAAGCAGUGCAGCAGGCAGACCACGCCGAGGACCACCAGGGCCCGCCCCGCGUCGCUCCCCGCAACCAUGGCUCGUCGGGCCGGCCUCUGCGCAAGUGCCCAGCCACAAGGAGCUCUAAGUUCAAGCACCGCCUACGCGGGAGGCCUGAAACAGAAGCACCAGAGUUGCCCCUGCCCAGCUGAGGGAGUUCACAGAACUCUUAGUUAUUAUGUGAGCAGGAAUCCAUUUCCAUGAACAGGACUCCCCGCUGCCCAAAUAACCACCAACACAUGGUGCAAGUUGUGAAACUGAGUGGGAAUGUGCCUUCUUGCUGCUUCACCUCCAUUGUCCCCAGAUGUAAACCCCUCCCAACACUGAAAGGAAACAGAGACCAGUGCACUGUGCAGUCUCACUUAUCGAGAAUGCACAGCUCCUGCUCUUAUUACCAUUCUGGGAAAUCCCCGCUGCAUUUCAUGGCCAGGGCAGCACUUCAUAGUUGGAAAAGGAUGGUGUGGACUUGCUGCAGAGGCCCUAGAGAAGGCCAUCCUGUGUUCCUGCUCUCCUUCUCAUCCGGCUUCUACCCCCGCCCCACCCCCCAACAAAAAUGCUACAGGUUAUAAGCUCUACAUUCUGAACCUGCCUUUCAGGGGCUAGGUGUGUUGUGUGUUGCACAGCUCUAGGGGUAGCAUAGCCUUGAUCAUCGGGGUGGAGGUGUCUAUUUACUAUGAUAUGUUACAGCAGAUGGCAGUGAAGUGUCUUGAGGAAGAGGUGUUUUUAUCAUUUGAAGGUUAUGGGGUGUAAUAAUAAAGACUGCAAUUCACAGACCUUGAGCCUAGCAGGCCAAUGCCAAGGGCAGAACUGUAGGCCCCACAGCACAGUUCCACAGAGGAAGGGGGCUGGUUAGUAAGGGGAAAGAAGGAUAGAAGACUGCAGUAAAUGUAAACAGCCGUAUUUUCA
Molecule: long non-coding RNA, 1337 nt
Organism: Symphalangus syndactylus (siamang)
Lineage: Eukaryota; Metazoa; Chordata; Mammalia; Primates; Hylobatidae
Source: RefSeq, a predicted model, not a curated record